This 501-nucleotide ribosomal RNA is filed under the name uncultured bacterium. RNAcentral describes it as "bacterial SSU rRNA". It matches the Rfam family "Bacterial small subunit ribosomal RNA", at positions 28 to 573 of the family's 1533-position model. The record is from RNAcentral.
AACGAACGCUGGCGGCAUGCCUAACACAUGCAAGUCGAACGAGACCUUCGGGUCUAGUGGCGCACGGGUGCGUAACGCGUGGGAAUCUGCCCUUCGGUUCGGAAUAACUCAGGGAAACUUGAGCUAAUACCGAAUGAUGUCUUCGGACCAAAGAUUUAUCGCCGAAGGAUGAGCCCGCGUCGGAUUAGCUAGUUGGUGAGGUAAAGGCUCACCAAGGCGACGAUCCGUAGCUGGUCUGAGAGGAUGAUCAGCCACACUGGGACUGAGACACGGCCCAGACUCCUACGGGAGGCAGCAGUGGGGAAUAUUGGACAAUGGGCGAAAGCCUGAUCCAGCAAUGCCGCGUGAGUGAUGAAGGCCUUAGGGUUGUAAAGCUCUUUUACCCGGGAUGAUAAUGACAGUACCGGGAGAAUAAGCCCCGGCUAACCUCCGUGCCAGCAGCCGCGGUAAUACGGAGGGGGCUAGGCGUUGUUCGGAAUUACUGGGCGUAAAGCGCACGUA